Molecule: ribosomal RNA, 468 nt
Filed under: uncultured bacterium
Lineage: Bacteria
Description: partial 16S ribosomal RNA
Rfam family: Bacterial small subunit ribosomal RNA
Source: RNAcentral
GAUGAACGCUGGCGGCGUGCUUAACACAUGCAAGUCGAACGGAAAGGCCCAAGCUUGCUUGGGUACUCGAGUGGCGAACGGGUGAGUAACACGUGGGUGAUCUGCCCUGCACUUCGGGAUAAGCCUGGGAAACUGGGUCUAAUACCGGAUAGGACGAUGGUUUGGAUGCCAUUGUGGAAAGUUUUUUCGGUGUGGGAUGAGCUCGCGGCCUAUCAGCUUGUUGGUGGGGUAUUGGCCUACCAAGGCGUCGACGGGUAGCCGGCGUGUGAGGGUGUACGGCGACAUAGGGGGUGAGAUACGGCGCAGACUCCUACGGGAGGGAGCAGAGGGGAGAAUUGCACAAUGGGCGCAGGCCUGAUGCGGCGAAGCCGCGUGUGGGAUGACGGCGUUCGGGUUGUAAACUCCUUUCGCUAGGGACGAAGCGUUUUUGUGACGGUACCUGGAAAAGAAGCACCGGCUAACUACGUG